UACGUAGGGGGCAAGCGUUGUCCGGAUUUAUUGGGCGUAAAGAGCGUGUAGGCGGCCAGACAGGUCCGUUGUGAAAACUCGAGGCUCAACCUCGAGACGCCGAUGGAAACCGUUUGGCUAGAGUCCAGAAGAGGAGAGUGGAAUUCCUGGUGUAGCGGUGAAAUGCGCAGAUAUCAGGAAGAACACCCGUGGCUAAGGCGGCUCUCUAGUACGGUACUGACGCUGAGACGCGAAAGCGUGGGGAGCGAACAGG
RNAcentral lists this ribosomal RNA (253 nucleotides) under uncultured bacterium. RNAcentral's name for it is "partial 16S ribosomal RNA". It matches the Rfam family "Bacterial small subunit ribosomal RNA", at positions 524 to 776 of the family's 1533-position model. The record is from RNAcentral.